AAGGCUACGGCUCAACCGUAGUAAGCUCUUGAAACUGGGAGACUUGAGUGCAGGAGAGGAGAGUGGAAUUCCUAGUGUAGCGGUGAAAUGCGUAGAUAUUAGGAGGAACACCAGUUGCGAAGGCGGCGCUCUGGACUGUAACUGACGCUGAGGCACGAAAGCGUGGGGAGCAAACAGGAUUAGAUACCCUGGUAGUCCACGCUGUAAACGAUGAGUACUAGGUGUCGGGGGUUACCCCC
This 239-nucleotide ribosomal RNA is filed under the name Clostridioides difficile. Its description in RNAcentral is "partial 16S ribosomal RNA". It matches the Rfam family "Bacterial small subunit ribosomal RNA", at positions 598 to 841 of the family's 1533-position model. Lineage: Bacteria; Bacillati; Bacillota; Clostridia; Peptostreptococcales; Peptostreptococcaceae. The record is from RNAcentral.